This 88-nucleotide transfer RNA is filed under the name Clostridia bacterium. RNAcentral describes it as "tRNA-Ser". It matches the Rfam family "tRNA". From Rfam's summary of the family: Transfer RNA (tRNA) molecules are approximately 80 nucleotides in length. Their secondary structure includes four short double-helical elements and three loops (D, anti-codon, and T loops). The record is from RNAcentral. Lineage: Bacteria; Bacillati; Bacillota; Clostridia.
GGAGAGGUGGCUGAGCGGUUGAAAGCGGCGGUCUUGAAAACCGUUAACCUGCAAGGGUUCGUGAGUUCAAAUCUCACCCUCUCCGCCA